UUCCACUGAGUUCAUAGAUAGCCUUUUGAACAAUAGAGAAAGUAGAUUGCAAAUUCAAAUAUAUCUAGGAAACUUACAGGGACAAGAGCCAGAAAAGUAAGGGGCUACUUUCUGCUAUAAGGAUUCUUAUGGUUCUGAAAUGUGUUGGCCCAUCUGCUAUAGUUCAUAUCUGGAAUGUUCUCCAAAAGUCUGUGUGUUUAAGAUUUGUUCCCCCAUCCCUAGUGCUAUUGGGAAUUGGGAGAAACUUUAAUAGGCAGGUCCCAGAGGGAAGACUUCAAGUCACUGGGGACUCAGUGGGGACUCAGAGGGGGACUGUAGGACCCUGAUCUCUUCCUUUCUCUCUCUCCCUCUCUUUGGCAUCCUAGUCAUGAAGUGAGGGGUUUUGCUUCAUUUGCUUCCACCAUGAUGUUCUGCCUCCCCACCAAGCCAACUGAUCAUUGCCUGAAACUUCCACAACUUCUUACAAAGGAUGCUUAAAGAAGACAGACUAAUUAGAAGACCGAGACUCAAAAAUUGGAGAGAGGAAGAGUCAGAAACAAAAUGGAUGGUGCUGGUGUGUGCAGGAGCUGCGGUAUUGAUUUCCACAUUUGCUAAGGCAUCUGAGUGUGAGCUGCCCAUCACAGUGCUGACUUGAAUAAAAGGUUAUUACUGUAA
This is a long non-coding RNA of Marmota monax (woodchuck), 654 nucleotides long. RefSeq lists it as uncharacterized. The record is from RefSeq and is a predicted model, not a curated record. The transcript is spliced from 3 exons. NCBI's taxonomy places the organism in Eukaryota, Metazoa, Chordata, Mammalia, Rodentia, Sciuridae.